AGACUUAAAAAUGAGAGCGUGGGGAAAUGUGGCAAAUUUUCAGAGCCCAAGAGGGGUAAAACUUUGUGUAAUAUUCAUAUCCCCACAAUACUGACCAAGUAUCCCAACUUUCUAUAGCUUAUAGUGUUUUCACAAAUGAACAUGUUGACUAUCCUAUGAGAUGGUUGGGAAAGUAUUAUUUACCAUCCCCAUUUUAUGAAUGAGAGAACUGACGGCUAGACAAGUUAAAGUAGCUUGUCCACUUCACCUGGAUAAUGAGCAAAUGAGUUGGGAUUCACACUCAGGUCUUCUAACUCCAAACCUUGCGUUUUCUCCACCCUCUCACUAACUGCUCAGUGGUGCAAGUGAUAAUAUUUUUGUAGCAAAGAUGCCUGUUAUAUUUUGCAGAUUGUUACUAGAACUCAUCAAGAAUAACAUUAGAGGACCCUGUUAAUCCAAGACUGACAACAGUGGACAGAGAUGCUCUCUAAGCAUAAAGCAAGGAAUACUCUGGGAGAAUUUGGAGAAGUAGGUGGAUGACACAAACCCAUUAUGAAUAGAUCAAUUGACAGCCAAGAGAAUCAAGACAAUUUUUAGGAAACCAGGCUUAUGACUAAUAGAAGAAAAAAAUGCAUGAUGGUAUGAGGCUACUCUGAGCAAUAUUUGGAUCUCUCUUUGUUUCAACCUAGAAGACAUGACUUUGUGGGGGUGAAGGAAGAGAGAGUUGCCCCUGGGCACUUUGGAACACCAGAACAUACGAUUAUCAGCACACUUCUGAGGGAAAGGGACCACACCAAUCUCUUAUGUUUCAAAUGCCAAGAAAAAAUUUAUUGCUUACCUCUAAAGAACUCAUUGAUAUGGUCGAUCCAGUUUCACUUCUCGAUAGUCCUGCAUUAUCAUCCAACUCAGUGGCCAUGAAAUUCUUCACAGCUGUGCGGGGCUCAAAGGAAAUCAUAACUCAAUCAACAAUCAGAGGGGAAAAUAAAAUCUCACCAUGAUUUGCGCAUGCCCAUUAGGAAAAGAACUUGAAGAAUCAGCAUUGAUUGGAUCCUGACAGUUUCUCAGUCGGCAUCUAAAUGCAUCCUGAACCUGUGGGAGCCAGAAAUGACAGACUUUAAUUUUCUUCUCUCUUAGAAAUGAGCAGAUAAUGUCUACAUUAGCAAACAACUGAAAAAGCAGUUAUCACUGUUUUUAUGUUACCCAAUUUAUUUAAUUCCUAAUACAAAUACUGAUGUUCCUCGACUUUGCUCUCUGCCAAGGAAAUUUACCACUUGCCAUAAUCUAUAGAGGGAAGUGUUGGGAACUCCACAGCUAUCAAAAUGGCUGUGUCUGGCUCAACACCAGUAAUUCUCACCUGCGGGCAGAUUUAUUUCCACUGUUACAAGCAAUAUGUGUGGUUUUCAAGGGGGAUUUACUAUUUGGUAUGGCAUAAUCUAUAAUAUCUCUAAACACUGUGAAAAAUAAAAUUACUCAAUCAUCUUCUGACAAAUUGAUUUUGGAUUUUCCUUUUAUGUCUCAUGUAAGGGAUCCUAUUGGUGAGACUAUUUCUCGUCUCCCUUCAAGUACUAUAUGCCCUGAAACAAAACGCAGUAAGACAAAGAGAUAACAAAAA
This is a long non-coding RNA of Myotis daubentonii (Daubenton's bat), 1591 nucleotides long. RefSeq lists it as uncharacterized. The transcript has 5 exons. The record is from RefSeq and is a predicted model, not a curated record. NCBI's taxonomy places the organism in Eukaryota, Metazoa, Chordata, Mammalia, Chiroptera, Vespertilionidae.